Molecule: ribosomal RNA, 253 nt
Filed under: uncultured bacterium
Lineage: Bacteria
Description: partial 16S ribosomal RNA
Rfam family: Bacterial small subunit ribosomal RNA
Source: RNAcentral
UACGGAGGAUCCAAGCGUUAUCCGGAUUUAUUGGGCUUAAAGGGUGCGUAGGCGGCUUAUUAAGUCAGGUGUGAAAGACGGUGGCUCAACCAUCGCAGUGCCCUUGAUACUGAUGAGCUUGAAUACACUUGAGGUAGGCGGAAUGUGACAAGUAGCGGUGAAAUGCAUAGAUAUGUCACAGAACACCAAUUGCGAAGGCAGCUUACUAAGGUGCAAUUGACGCUGAGGCACGAAAGCGUGGGGAUCAAACAGG